AUAUAAUAAAGUAUACGUUUUAGAGUAUUCUAUAGGUCUUUGUUAACGAUGGCAUCAAUCAUUACAGUGGUUCAUUUUGACAAAACGAAACACGUUUGUUCUCGGCGGUGUCGUUGGAAGUAGAUAACCCGGCUGUGAAGAGCUUCCUGAAAUGGCGUCUUCGAGUAAACAGACAAAAAGUUUUCGUCUGCUCUGAGAAGAGGGGAACAAGAAAAUAGCAAAGUCCACAGGGUCUGCUUUGCAGAUCAGUUUUCGAUUAAAAGGCUUUUGAAAGCUUUCUUUGGACAAUGAUUUUUUUUCGUUGCUUUUCUUUUAGUUCUUAAACUAUACAAACUAUUGGACACAUUUUCAAAGCAAAUUUUACUUGAUUACUCAAGUGUAAAACGAUGGUUUCGUCAGGGAUAGAUGACUGGGUAGAACUCUUUGCCAUGUUAGCUGCACCGUAAUUGAAGGACACUGGUCGGGUACAUUUUGAUCCGCUAAAUCUUCAUCAAAACACCUGUCACGGACCUCUCUCUCUGGCGGUGUCGUCGGUCGAGCGCUCCAUGCAAUCCACGACAGAGGACAAGGUGCGAUGGUGCCGGCACGGC
Molecule: long non-coding RNA, 590 nt
Organism: Varroa destructor (honeybee mite)
Lineage: Eukaryota; Metazoa; Arthropoda; Arachnida; Mesostigmata; Varroidae
Source: RefSeq, a predicted model, not a curated record